ACAAGACUCCAUUAAGCACAUAGUUGCAAAAAGACACAAAACACUUUAAAAUACAUAAAGUCACAUUUACACAUAACACACAGACAUUUCACAUAUCCCCAGAUAGCUGGGAUCUGAGUGCACAUUAUUAGAUGAAUGGCACUCAGAUCACACAAAUAAGCCUUUCUGCCGGGAAAUAAACAGUUUAACCUGCAGGGCCAUAGUCCAAAGGGAGCAGGCGAGCAACCAGGCUUCUCCAGUUCACAGUGGCGAGGUUGGUUUCGCCACA
This 268-nucleotide long non-coding RNA is filed under the name Pelobates cultripes (western spadefoot toad). Lineage: Eukaryota; Metazoa; Chordata; Amphibia; Anura; Pelobatidae. The record is from RNAcentral.